Molecule: ribosomal RNA, 264 nt
Filed under: uncultured bacterium
Lineage: Bacteria
Description: partial 16S ribosomal RNA
Rfam family: Bacterial small subunit ribosomal RNA
Source: RNAcentral
AUGUGCCUACGGGAGGCAGCAGUGAGGAAUAUUGGUCAAUGGGCGCGAGCCUGAACCAGCCAAGUAGCGUGAAGGAUGACUGCCCUACGGGUUGUAAUCUUCUUUUAUAAAGGAAUAAAGUGAGGCACGAGUGCCUUUUUGUAUGUACUUUAUGAAUAAGGAUCGGCUAACUCCGUGCCAGCAGCCGCGGUAAUACGGAGGAUCCGAGCGUUAUCCGGAUUUAUUGGGUUUAAAGGGCGCGUAGAUGGGUUGUUAAGUCAGUUG